Molecule: ribosomal RNA, 446 nt
Filed under: uncultured bacterium
Lineage: Bacteria
Description: bacterial SSU rRNA
Rfam family: Bacterial small subunit ribosomal RNA
Source: RNAcentral
GUAAGGAAUAUUGGUCAAUGGACGCAAGUCUGAACCAGCCAUGCCGCGUGCAGGAAGACGGCCCUACGGGUUGUAAACUGCUUUUGUACGGGAAAAAACCCCCGGUUUCGCACCGGGGCUGAUGGUACCGUAAGAAUAAGCAUCGGCUAACUCCGUGCCAGCAGCCGCGGUAAUACGGAGGAUGCAAGCGUUAUCCGGAUUUAUUGGGUUUAAAGGGUGCGCAGGCGGAAUGAUAAGUCAGUGGUGAAAUCCUACGGCUCAACUGUAGAACUGCCAUUGAUACUGUCGUUCUUGAGUACACUUGAAGUGGGCGGAAUGUGUCAUGUAGCGGUGAAAUGCUUAGAUAUGACACAGAACACCGAUCGCGAAGGCAGCUCACUAACGUGAAACUGACGCUCAUGCACGAAAGCGUGGGGAUCAAACAGGAUUAGAAACCCUUGUAGUCC